AUGCCUACGGGAGGCAGCAGUAAGGGAUAUUGGUCAAUGGGGGAAACCCUGAACCAGCAACGCCGCGUGAGGGAAGACGGUUUUCGGAUUGUACGCCUCUGUCCUCUGUGAAGAUGAUGACGGUAGCAGAGGAGGAAGCUCCGGCUAACUACGUGCCAGCAGCCGCGGUAAUACGUAUGGUGCAAGCGUUAUCCGGAUUUACUGGGUGUAAAGGGAGCGUAGGCGGCGCGUUAAGUCUGAUGUGAAAACCCGAGGCUCAACCACGGGAGUGCAUUGGAAACUGGCGGGCUGGAGUGCCGGAGAGG
Molecule: ribosomal RNA, 305 nt
Filed under: uncultured bacterium
Lineage: Bacteria
Description: bacterial SSU rRNA
Rfam family: Bacterial small subunit ribosomal RNA
Source: RNAcentral